Molecule: unclassified non-coding RNA, 386 nt
Filed under: uncultured Phycisphaeraceae bacterium
Lineage: Bacteria; Pseudomonadati; Planctomycetota; Phycisphaerae; Phycisphaerales; Phycisphaeraceae
Description: contains 16S-23S intergenic spacer region
Source: RNAcentral
UCCGGUUUGACACCGGCAGUCUCGCUAGAGUCCCCAGCCGAACUGCUGGCAACUAGCGACAGGGGUUGCGCUCGUUAAGGGACUUAACCCGACACUUCACAGCACGAGCUGACGACAGCCAUGCAGCACCUGUGCACGUUCCACGGCAAGCCGCGUCACCCGCCUUUCGGCGGACUAAUCCGUGCAUGUCAAGCCCAGGAUAAGGUUCUUCGCGUUGCUUCGAAUUAAGCCACAUGCUCCACCGCUUGUGUGAGCCCCCGUCAAUUCCUUUGAGUUUUAGCCUUGCGACCGUACUCCCCAGGCGGUGCACUUAACACUUUCGCUUCGACCGAGAGCGGCGUCAAAACCCCCUCGAUCUAGUGCACAUCGUUUACGGCGUGGACUAC